GGCCGGGUAGCGCGCAGUGAUACAAGACCCGCAAGGGAAAGGCUGCGGGCCGUCUGACGGCGGUGUUCAAGUACCUGGCCGCCCCUCU
Non-coding RNA from Bordetella sp. SCN 67-23, 88 nucleotides. NCBI's taxonomy places the organism in Bacteria, Pseudomonadati, Pseudomonadota, Betaproteobacteria, Burkholderiales, Alcaligenaceae. The record is from Rfam.